RNAcentral lists this ribosomal RNA (525 nucleotides) under uncultured bacterium. RNAcentral describes it as "bacterial SSU rRNA". It matches the Rfam family "Bacterial small subunit ribosomal RNA", at positions 984 to 1509 of the family's 1533-position model. The record is from RNAcentral.
ACAUCCAGCGAACUUGGCAGAGAUGCCUUGGUGCCUUCGGGAACGCUGAGACAGGUGCUGCAUGGCUGUCGUCAGCUCGUGUUGUGAAAUGUUGGGUUAAGUCCCGCAACGAGCGCAACCCUUAUCCUUUGUUGCCAGCGAUUCGGUCGGGAACUCAAAGGAGACUGCCGGUGAUAAACCGGAGGAAGGUGGGGAUGACGUCAAGUCAUCAUGGCCCUUACGAGUAGGGCUACACACGUGCUACAAUGGCGCAUACAAAGAGAAGCGACCUCGCGAGAGCAAGCGGACCUCAUAAAGUGCGUCGUAGUCCGGAUCGGAGUCUGCAACUCGACUCCGUGAAGUCGGAAUCGCUAGUAAUCGUGGAUCAGAAUGCCACGGUGAAUACGUUCCCGGGCCUUGUACACACCGCCCGUCACACCAUGGGAGUGGGUUGCAAAGGAAGUAGGUAGCUUAACCUUCGGGAGGGCGCUUACCACUUUGUGAUUCAUGACUGGGGUGAAGUCGUAACAAGGUAAGCGUAGCGAG